GACGAACGCUGGCGGCGUGCUUAACACAUGCAAGUCGAACGGAAAGGCCCUGCUUGCAGGGUGCUCGAGUGGCGAACGGGUGAGUAACACGUGGGUGAUCUGCCCCUUACUUUGAGAUAAGCCUGGGAAACUGGGUCUAAUACUGGAUAGGACCAUGCUGUAGGUGGUGUGGUGGAAAGAUUAGUUUCGGUAAGGGAUGAGCUCGCGGCCUAUCAGCUUGUUGGUGGGGUAAUGGCCUACCAAGGCGUCGACGGGUAGCCGGCCUGAGAGGGUGGACGGCCACAUUGGGACUGAGAUACGGCCCAGACUCCUACGGGAGGCAGCAGUGGGGAAUAUUGCACAAUGGGCGCAAGCCUGAUGCAGCGACGCCGCGUGGGGGAUGACGGCCUUCGGGUUGUAAACUCCUUUCAGCCAUGACGAAGCCCUUGUGGUGACGGUAGUGGUAGAAGAAGCACCGGCUAACUACGUG
RNAcentral lists this ribosomal RNA (469 nucleotides) under uncultured bacterium. RNAcentral describes it as "partial 16S ribosomal RNA". It matches the Rfam family "Bacterial small subunit ribosomal RNA", at positions 28 to 507 of the family's 1533-position model. The record is from RNAcentral.